GCGGGUUUAAUCGGACUCAACGGCUGGGAAACUCACCAGAAUAAGACAGCUGAAUGAUAGUCGGGCUGAAGACUCUACUUGACUAGCUGAGAGGAGGUGCAUGGCCGUCGUCAGUUCGUACUGUGAAGCAUCCUGUUAAGUCAGGCAACGAGCGAGACCCACGCCAACAGUUGCCAGCUCGUCCUCCGGGAUGGUGGGGGACACUGUUGGGACCGCUCUGCUAAAGAGGAGGAAGGAAUGGGCAACGGUAGGUCAGCAUGCCCCGAAUUAUCUGGGCUACACGCGGGCUACAAUGGGUGGGACAAUGGGUAUCGACACCGGAAAGGUGAAGGCAAUCUCCUAAACCCAUCCGUAGUUCGGAUUGUGGGCUGCAACUCGCCCACAUGAAGCUGGAAUCUGUAGUAAUCGUGUCUCAAAAUGGCACGGUGAAUAUGUCCCUGCUCCUU
This 446-nucleotide ribosomal RNA is filed under the name uncultured Methanomicrobiales archaeon. RNAcentral describes it as "bacterial SSU rRNA". It matches the Rfam family "Archaeal small subunit ribosomal RNA", at positions 897 to 1338 of the family's 1478-position model. The record is from RNAcentral. Lineage: Archaea; Methanobacteriati; Methanobacteriota; Methanomicrobia; Methanomicrobiales.